GGGCCGCGUGCGGGAUGGCUGCCCGCGCCCCGCUGCACCGCACAAGUCUUCCUAAACAAAGCUGGUGGAAUUACACGCUUCUGUGGAGAGCCUCAUGUAACGGAAAAGUCUCAGAUUACUAUCGCUUGAAAAGGAGGGCACUUCUCUUCAUUUAUUUUCAAUACCGUUCGCUUGAAAAAGCAACACGCGCACAGAAGCACUCAUUCAGUAUUUAGCAGCAGGCGAGGAGAGGACUCAGAAAAACGUGCUCCCCAGCAUGCUGGGUACAAACGAAACCUUUGUGAAGGGGUUCUGUAAGCAGCCAGUUCCUUUCGCUCAAUUUCACGUCGCUGCCAACGUGGAAGAUGUUGACACGUCCCGUGCACGUGAGCACAGGUGCUCGCUCUGCCUGCUGGAGUGCAGCUCCUGGAGUUGGCUUUAGGAUGGGUCAGCUUUCCCUCGGGGCCGUGAGCUCCUCCCCUCACUCACACACAAGAGUGAAAUGAAAAGGUUGGCAUGUGGGCUGAACAACAGGUCCCCAAGCAACAGAUGUGAUAGACUUCAUUAAUGAUGAUAUCAGCUCCUUGAGAUGGCCCCAAUCACCGCGUGCUGCCGACUCAUCUGCCAGAGCGUUAUUUACGCUCUGCUGGGCCUCCUGUGGACAUUUUGAAGGCUCCACUUAACAGUUAAAGAAAAAAAAGACAUACUAAAAGAAAGAGCUGGACACCACCAGGCAGUCAACUCUGGAAAGAUUAACCUCUGGAAAGAAACCUCUGCUGUUGUCGGAAGAUAGCCAGUCUCAAAUGGCUGCCUUGGGACUCAGGGUGUUGGAUGAUGCUGGUGACAUAAAAAGAACCACCGUCCUUUUAAGUCAGACUGGAGUUGG
Lagopus leucura (white-tailed ptarmigan) is the source of this 865-nucleotide long non-coding RNA. RefSeq lists it as uncharacterized. Lineage: Eukaryota; Metazoa; Chordata; Aves; Galliformes; Phasianidae. The record is from RefSeq and is a predicted model, not a curated record. The transcript is spliced from 3 exons.